GCGGGCGUGGUGAAAUUGGUAUACACACCGGACUUAAAAUCCGGAGGCCUAGGCCGUGCGGGUUCAAGUCCCGCCGCCCGCACCA
Molecule: transfer RNA, 85 nt
Filed under: Mesorhizobium sp. LNHC221B00
Lineage: Bacteria; Pseudomonadati; Pseudomonadota; Alphaproteobacteria; Hyphomicrobiales; Phyllobacteriaceae
Description: tRNA-Leu
Rfam family: tRNA
About the family: Transfer RNA (tRNA) molecules are approximately 80 nucleotides in length. Their secondary structure includes four short double-helical elements and three loops (D, anti-codon, and T loops).
Source: RNAcentral